RNAcentral lists this ribosomal RNA (442 nucleotides) under uncultured bacterium. RNAcentral's name for it is "bacterial SSU rRNA". It matches the Rfam family "Bacterial small subunit ribosomal RNA", at positions 354 to 796 of the family's 1533-position model. The record is from RNAcentral.
GUGGGGAAUAUUGCACAAUGGGCGCAAGCCUGAUGCAGCGACGCCGCGUGCGGGAUGGAGGCCUUCGGGUUGUAAACCGCUUUUAUAGGGGGGCAAGCUAUGCCUGUGUGGUGUGGUGAGUGGACUUUAUGAAUAAGCACCGGCUAACUACGUGCCAGCAGCCGCGGUAAUACGUAGGGUGCAAGCGUUGUCCGGAUUUAUUGGGCGUAAAGGGCUCGUAGGCGGUUUGUUGCGUCUGGUGUGAAAGCUUACUGCUUAACGGUAGGUUGCGCUGGAUACGGGCAGGCUUGAGUGCAGUAGGGGAGACUGGAAUUCUCGGUGUAACGGUGGAAUGUGUAGAUAUCGGGAAGAACACCUAUGGCGAAGGCAGGUCUCUGGGCUGUUACUGACGCUGAGGAGCGAAAGCGUGGGGAGCGAACAGGAUUAGAAACCCUAGUAGUCC